This 206-nucleotide ribosomal RNA is filed under the name uncultured bacterium. Its description in RNAcentral is "partial 16S ribosomal RNA". It matches the Rfam family "Bacterial small subunit ribosomal RNA", at positions 568 to 774 of the family's 1533-position model. The record is from RNAcentral.
CACGUAGACGGUUUGUUAAGUCGGAUGUGAAAGCCCCGGGUUCAACCUGGGAACUGCAUUCGAUACUGUCAGACUAGAGUAUAGAAGAGGCAAGUGGAAUUCCGGGUGUAGCGGUGAAAUGCGUAGAUAUCCGGAGGAACAUCAGUGGCGAAGGCGACUUGCUGGUCUAAUACUGACGCUGAGGUGCGAAGCGUGGGGAGCAAACG